UGGUUUUAAAAACUUAUUUAUUAACAUUAGAGCAGUACAGAGAGAACUAGCACAAAUCCUAUACAAGGAUUGUAUGAAAAUUUAUGAGGAAUUUCACAUUUUU
RNAcentral lists this small nuclear RNA (103 nucleotides) under Catagonus wagneri (Chacoan peccary). The record is from RNAcentral. Lineage: Eukaryota; Metazoa; Chordata; Mammalia; Artiodactyla; Tayassuidae.